Molecule: ribosomal RNA, 468 nt
Filed under: uncultured bacterium
Lineage: Bacteria
Description: partial 16S ribosomal RNA
Rfam family: Bacterial small subunit ribosomal RNA
Source: RNAcentral
GACGAACGCUGGCGGCGUGCUUAACACAUGCAAGUCGAACGGAAAGGCCCUGCUUUUGUGGGGUGCUCGAGUGGCGAACGGGUGUGUAACACGUGAGUAACCUGCCCUUGACUUUGGGAUAACUUCAGGAAACUGGGGCUAAUACCGGAUAGGAGCUCCUGCUGCAUGGUGGGGGUUGGAAAGCUUCGGCGGUUGGGGAUGGACUCGCGGCUUAUCAGCUGGUUGGUGGGGUAGUGGCUUACCAAGGCUUUGAUGGGUAGCCGGCCUGGGAGGGUGACCGGGCACAUGGGGACUGCGGGAGGGCCCAGAGUCGAACAGGAGGCAGCGGGGGGGAAUAUGGUACAGUGGGGGGAAGCCUGAUAAGGCAAUGCCGGGAGCGGGAUGACGGCUUAGGGGUGGUAAACCGCUGUAGCCUGAGACGAAGCGUGAGUGACGGUAAUGGGAAAAGAAGCACCGGCUAACUACGUG